GCGAACUGGUGAGUAACACGUGGGAAACCUGCCCAGAAGCGGGGGAUAACACCUGGAAACAGAUGCUAAUACCGCAUAACAACUUGGACCGCAUGGUCCGAGUUUGAAAGAUGGCUUCGGCUAUCACUUUUGGAUGGUCCCGCGGCGUAUUAGCUAGAUGGUGAGGUAACGGCUCACCAUGGCAAUGAUACGUAGCCGACCUGAGAGGGUAAUCGGCCACAUUGGGACUGAGACACGGCCCAAACUCCUACGGGAGGCAGCAGUAGGGAAUCUUCCACAAUGGACGAAAGUCUGAUGGAGCAACGCCGCGUGAGUGAAGAAGGGUUUCGGCUCGUAAAACUCUGUUGUUAAAGAAGAACAUAUCUGAGAGUAACUGUUCAGGUAUUGACGGUAUUUAACCAGAAAGCCACGGCUAACUACGUGCCAGCAGCCGCGGUAAUACGUAGGUGGCAAGCGUUGUCCGGAUUUAUUGGGCGUAAAGCGAGCGCAGGCGGUUUUUUAAGUCUGAUGUGAAAGCCUUCGGCUCAACCGAAGAAGUGCAUCGGAAACUGGGAAACUUGAGUGCAGAAGAGGACAGUGGAACUCCAUGUGUAGCGGUGAAAUGCGUAGAUAUAUGGAAGAACACCAGUGGCGAAGGCGGCUGUCUGGUCUGUAACUGACGCUGAGGCUCGAAAGUAUGGGUAGCAAACAGGAUUAGAUACCCUGGUAGUCCAUACCGUAAACGAUGAAUGCUAAGUGUUGGAGGGUUUCCGCCCUUCAGUGCUGCAGCUAACGCAUUAAGCAUUCCGCCUGGGGAGUACGGCCGCAAGGCUGAAACUCAAAGGAAUUGACGGGGGCCCGCACAAGCGGUGGAGCAUGUGGUUUAAUUCGAAGCUACGCGAAGAACCUUACCAGGUCUUGACAUACUAUGCAAAUCUAAGAGAUUAGACGUUCCCUUCGGGGACAUGGAUACAGGUGGUGCAUGGUUGUCGUCAGCUCGUGUCGUGAGAUGUUGGGUUAAGUCCCGCAACGAGCGCAACCCUUAUUAUCAGUUGCCAGCAUUAAGUUGGGCACUCUGGUGAGACUGCCGGUGACAAACCGGAGGAAGGUGGGGAUGACGUCAAAUCAUCAUGCCCCUUAUGACCUGGGCUACACACGUGCUACAAUGGAUGGUACAACGAGUUGCGAACUCGCGAGAGUAAGCUAAUCUCUUAAAGCCAUUCUCAGUUCGGAUUGUAGGCUGCAACUCGCCUACAUGAAGUCGGAAUCGCUAGUAAUCGCGGAUCAGCAUGCCGCGGUGAAUACGUUCCCGGGCCUUGUACACACCGCCCGUCACACCAUGAGAGUUUGUAACACCCAAAGUCGGUGG
RNAcentral lists this ribosomal RNA (1348 nucleotides) under Lactiplantibacillus paraplantarum. Its description in RNAcentral is "bacterial SSU rRNA". It matches the Rfam family "Bacterial small subunit ribosomal RNA", at positions 98 to 1433 of the family's 1533-position model. Lineage: Bacteria; Bacillati; Bacillota; Bacilli; Lactobacillales; Lactobacillaceae. The record is from RNAcentral.